Molecule: ribosomal RNA, 521 nt
Filed under: Mahabadphora aesthesphora
Lineage: Eukaryota; Metazoa; Arthropoda; Insecta; Diptera; Phoridae
Description: Phoridae gen. sp. 1 NMR-2019 partial large subunit ribosomal RNA
Rfam family: Eukaryotic large subunit ribosomal RNA
Source: RNAcentral
GUAUGCGUAGAAGUGUUUGGCGUAAGACUGCAUGGAGCCAUUAUUGGUACAGAUCUUGGUGGUAGUAGCAAAUAAUCGAAUGAGACCUUGGAGGACUGAAGUGGAGAAGGGUUUCGUGUGAACAGUGGUUGAUCACGAGUUAGUCGGUCCUAAGUUCAAAGCGAAAGCUGAAUAUUUUCAUGUUAUUUUAAUAUGAAUUAUUAAUAAUAAUAUACAUGAAUUUAUGAACGAAAGGGAAUACGGUUCCAAUUCCGUAACCUGUUGAGUAUACGUUUGUUAUUAAAUAUGGGUAUUUAUACUCAUCCUGGUAACAGGAACAACCAUAGAGAAGCCGUCGAGAGGUAUUGGAAGAGUUUUCUUUUCUGUUUUAUAGUCGUAUUACCAUGGAAGUCUUUCGAAGAGAGAUAUGGUAAAUGGACUAGAAGAGCAUGGUAUUUACUGCUGUGUCGAUACUUUCUCCUCGGACCUUGAAAAUCUAUGGUGGGGCUACGCAAACUUCUCAACAGGCCGUACCGAUAUCC